UGCGACGGAUGGCCAGUAGAGUCACAUGGGUGAGUUUAGAACCUUUUAUUUAGCAGGACAUUCAUAUGUUGAUAUUUGGAGUAUCAGGGUUAGGCGGGGUUAUAGUUUUGGACCACUUUACCCCUAGACCUAUAAGUUGCUUAAGUUUAACGCAAGGGGCAAAAUUGAAAUUUGUCCUUUUAUUGAGAUUUUGUCUUGUAGUGAAGUUAGUGGAAACUCCCAAGUUUUAUUUUAUGCUAGUGGUAUGAUCUAGUUUAUUAAGGAAAUAGAAAAAGAGAAAGUAGGAGAAAAACCAAAAGUUAUCUUAUUCUCCCUCUCUCUCUCUCUCUCUCUCUCUCUCUCUCUCUCUCUCUCUCUCUCUCUCUCUCUCUCUCUCUCUCUCUCUCUCUCUCUCUCUCUCUCUCUCUCUCUCUCUCUCUCUCUCUCUCUCUCUCUCUCUCUCCUUCACCUUUGUCCCUAGAAGAACCAAGAUUAGGCUUUCAUAUUGAAGUCAUUUUCAGCAAGGAUUUGAGGAGAAACCUUAAGUUAAGACCAAAGGUAAGAGCAAAGCUAAAGUUGAACAGCAGUGAGUGCGAGCAUAUGAAGAUUAUACAUGUUGGGGUGGUUAGACCUGGAGCGUACGAUCUUUGGGAUAAUAGGCUGCGUUUUGAGUAGUCUCUAGGAGACAACUUUUAUAUCAAAAAUUUUGUAUUACAGUUGUAAAAUUUUUAAAUACGGGAUCCCGGUUUAAAUAGAAGUCAUUUACUUUUAAUUUAAGGGUAAAUAAAUAAUGUUUUAAUUAA
Cannabis sativa is the source of this 782-nucleotide long non-coding RNA. RefSeq lists it as uncharacterized. The transcript is spliced from 2 exons. The record is from RefSeq and is a predicted model, not a curated record. NCBI's taxonomy places the organism in Eukaryota, Viridiplantae, Streptophyta, Magnoliopsida, Rosales, Cannabaceae.